CUCUAAAUAACAUGCAUUGGCCAGAAAUGGACUUUUUUUAAACCGUUGUUCAUGCUUGUGGAAGUCGCUGUAGAUCAAGGAUCUAGAAGUCACUUUCAAUCAAUGUGUACACUUUCAGCAAUUGAAUAAAUAAAUUGAUCUCGGACAAAUUAUGGUCUUUCCUACUGUCUGAAUGAGCCGACUCUCUGGACGUAUGACGUGUGGGGAGGUGUGAACAGUAAUCAUGCCCCUGAAGAGGACGCUGAGACGUCACCCUGGAAUGCCCUGAUAGCUCUUGAUUGGAAGUGGAAUUUUGCCUCUUGUCAAAGCCUGUCAAGACCUUAUAACAGUGUUUAUACGUGUUUGCUCUUCAAUCAUAUUUAAACAUCAUUAACCUGACUCUGCCUAAUGUAGUGAAAGAAAUUGCUUCCAGAAAUGAAAGACUGGUAGUCUGCUGGGGCUUUCUAUAUGGGCCUUUCUGAAGAUGCCAAAAAGCAAUGAAAUUAUCCAUCUGAGGCAACAUCCUGAAUCUUUUCUGUACCCUCUCCAGCACUUUCACAUCCUUUCUAUA
Mobula hypostoma (lesser devil ray) is the source of this 550-nucleotide long non-coding RNA. RefSeq lists it as uncharacterized. The record is from RefSeq and is a predicted model, not a curated record. The transcript has 3 exons. Lineage: Eukaryota; Metazoa; Chordata; Chondrichthyes; Myliobatiformes; Myliobatidae.